RNAcentral lists this ribosomal RNA (154 nucleotides) under Neurospora tetrasperma FGSC 2509. Its description in RNAcentral is "5.8S ribosomal RNA". It matches the Rfam family "5.8S ribosomal RNA". From Rfam's summary of the family: 5.8S ribosomal RNA (5.8S rRNA) is a component of the large subunit of the eukaryotic ribosome. It is transcribed by RNA polymerase I as part of the 45S precursor that also contains 18S and 28S rRNA. The record is from Rfam by way of RNAcentral. Lineage: Eukaryota; Fungi; Ascomycota; Sordariomycetes; Sordariales; Sordariaceae.
AACUCUCAACAACGGAUAUCUUGGCUCUCGCAACGAUGAAGAACGCAGCGAAAUGCGAUACGUAGUGUGAAUUGCAGAAUUCCGUGAAUCAUCAAAUCUUUGAACGCAAAUUGCGCCCAAUGCUUCGGCUGAGGGCAUGUUUGCCUCAGCGUCG